UUUUUUUUUUUUUUUUUAAUGUAUGCUAUAUUACGGAUCAAAUGGUUUUUGUUCUGAAAUUGAUCGUCAUAACAAUUACUCUGUGAUUUGCUGUUGUUUUUUUUUUUUUUUCCGAAACGAUAUUAGCCAUAUAUUAUCAUCAACUAAACUUUACACUUGGAGCAAAGGCCCCUAAUUCUAUACAAAAGUGCUCAAUAGCACAGAGGAUUGAUCCAUUCCUCAUCAUGCAAUAUGCCUAAGGCAUACUCCCCAACUGUAGUACUAACAUGAUUAUCAUUUUUAGAUAUAAUACCAAAAGAGCACAUUUGAAACAGCACUCUCAAGCUAAGAAUAUCCUCCACAAGAGUAUGCAGCUUGAUAUUUGAUGCACUCCCCGCACUAAUUUGCUGAUGUAGGUGUUUGUUGCAGCUUUGGAUCUUGACUUUUCUCCAACCUCUGACAGCCAAUUUACACAUAGCUAUCUUGAUAGCCUCGGCCUCGUCCAAUUGUGGACAAUUGUAGCUUCUUUCAUUAAUAGCCCAGGCUGCAACCAUCGCAUCUCCUUCAGUCAUAGCAGUUACACCUAUUCCAACCUUUUUGCUGUUUAGUUUGCUCAGAGCAGCAGCCUUAACUUGGAUCACCUCUGCAUUCUCUGAUUCUAUUCUUUGCAUUUGGUAAGCAGCUGUUUCUGCUGUGCUCGCUUGCUCCUGCUGUUUGUAGGCUUCGCUGAACUCCAUCCAUUCCUCUUGAGCUUUCUGGAUAGUUGCCAAGGCAUGUCUUUGUUUGUUGUUGAAUUCCCAUUCAUUUCUGCUUUUCCAUACUUGCCACAAGAUGUUAACUGUUAGCGCAAGGUGUUCUUCACCAUCCUGCCUCGAUUUGGCUCCAGUAAUUUCAGUCCACCAGGCCUUAAAACAGCCUUGUUUGUCCUUUGCACCCCCCCAUUGUAUUGGUGCAAUCUGCCAAACCUGCUUAGCCUGACUGCAGUUCAGCAGCACAUGUUCCACCGUCUCUUCCCCUUCACCACAUGCUUUACAGAUGGGAUCUCCUUUCUUAGACCUACUAAAGAUGACUUCCUUGACUGGGAGUGCAUUAUUAAUGCAUUUCCACAUGAAGGUCUUUAGUUUCUGUUUGAUGUUUAGUUUCCAUAGGCAGGACCACAUCUGUUUUGCUGCAUUCUGUGUACUAGGACCAUCGCCCUUAUAUCCAACCCCUUCUUGAGCCACCUUCUCUUUCAUGAGUACCUUGUAACCUGUGCUCACUGUGUACUGUCCUGUAGGAGAGUGCAUCCAGAAAUUACGGUCCUCCUUUCCUGAUAAGCUUAUAGGUAUAUUUAGGAUUCUUUCAGCAUCCUUACUAUUAAAAUUUCUGAACACUUCCACUCUAUUCCACCUCUUCUGGAUGAUUAAGUCUUGAACUCUCUGCACUUUGCAUUCUGGAGGUUUGGGUGUUGAGGGCCUUCCUUCCUUGUUCCCAACAAUCCACUUGUCCUCCCAGACAUCUAUACUGCACCCAUUUCCAACUUUCCUCCAGGUGCCAUCCUCCAUCAAACGUUUAGCUCCCAUCAGGCUCUGCCAGAUCCAUGAAGCAUUCUGUGGGCACUUGCACUUGAAGAUGGAUCCUGUAGGGUAGUAUUUCGCUUUCAAAACCUUGGAGAUAAGCAAGUUUGGAUUUACCAGCAACCUCCAAAUCUGCUUACCAAGCAAUGCUCUGUUAAAAUUGACCAAGUCUUUGAAACCAAGUCCUCCCUGGUUCUUGGUUUGUGACAUUCUCUUCCAGGAGCAAAGAUGCAUCUUAUCCUUUCCAUCAGUUUCUCCCCACCAGUAGCUUGCCAUAAGUGCACUGAUCUUUUUACACAGUUUCAGAGGUAGUUUAAAGCAUGACAUAGCAUAAGUUGGCAUAGCUAGAGUCACUGCUUUUAGCAAGACCUCCUUCCCUGCUUGAUUCAGCAAUUUCUGUUUCCAGCUUCCAAACUUCUUUUGAAUGUUGUCUCUAAUGAAUCCAAAGAUUUGGUCCUUCGACCUCGUUAUCACCAUAGGCAGCCCCAGGUAUUUGCCUUGGCUGACCAUCUGGAUAUUCCCCAGCUUGCCGCAGAUUUCCAGCUUUCUGUCCUGCUCCAUAUUUUUGCUGAAGAAGAUAGAGGACUUCUCCAUAUUGAUCGACUGUCCAGAGCUCGUUUCAUAUGUCACCAGGAUCCUCUUCAGCUCCUCAGCUUGGUUGUGAUUUGCUGUUGGGGUUGAAGGCCUUCUCGAUUGUAACUGUUGAAAUAAAAUUACUUAUUAUAUGUUGAUCUCAAUCUGCAUGCUGGUGUUCUGGUUGUUUCUUUUAAUGUUUUUAAGAGGGUUUGGUGGGGGUUGGGCAGAGAAAUGGAGGUCAAGUCCCUUUCCGAAUUGUAAAGGAUGCUAAUGUGUACGUGUCACUACAUAUUGGUCCUUAUGGUCAUUGCUUUACGACAUGCUGAUCUCAAUCCUAGUUGUAAAGCAUUUGCGAAUUGUUCAUUGGAACGGAAGCCCUUCUGAAUCAUGACCCAAAAAAGGAAAAAAGUUGUAAAAAAUUUGGUUUUUCUCCCCUUAGAAAAUUGGAAAUUUUUAGAUAUGUCCGUUUUGAACUUAAACUUUUGCCCCCUCAAAAACGUGAAAUGUUAUAUAUAGUUAAGUUUUAGAUAUGUGAGCUUGCUAAUAAAUUUUCUGGUUCUUUCGAUAUGUACAAAGUAACUUCUACAUAUUAAUUGGGUUAUGGCUUAUCUCUCUCUGAGCUGCAAUGCAAUCCAUACAUCUGUAAAUGAGUGGGUAAAAUUGAAGCUGAAGCCUUUCUGAAAUGUAAUGCAUGCUUACCUAUUUUUGUUUUUCACACUAAUUGAAACUGACACUUAGGGACAAGAAAUCAAGAGUGUACAUACUUCACGGAGUUGUGAGUAAUUUUCUGUAUCUGGUAAAGUUGCCAUUCUAUCUCAAGCUUUAACACAUAUGACUUGGUAUCAGAACCUGGUAUUGGCACCUUAAAGUGCAGUCAAAUCUCAAAAGCAUAAAUUCUAUUUUAUGCAUAUAUUUAUAUGUUUUUGUGUUUUCGUAUUCUUUUUUAAGUCCUUUCUUAUUUGAGACUUGAUGGAUUUAAGGUUGGUUAUUUUAGUGUUUCCCUAUUUUGGUUCACAUCUUUCCUUUUCUUUCACAAAACAAGAUCUGUAUCUCAUAUUUCAUACGGGAAUGGGCAAUUGAAACAACUAGAAAAGCAUAAAGAAAAUUAUGCCAAGUUUGGUGUUGUAUAGAUUUCCAUUUUUUCUAAUUUGUAAUCCUUUGAAAUCCUAGUGUGUUUUGCUGGUUUGUUCAUCAAUUUUGUAUGGCCAACAAAAUGCUGUAUGCUGUCUAAACUUAUGUCUUCCAGGUAGUUUCUUGUAGAGACCCUUAGCACAAAAUGAAAGAGAGAACAAUUAGUGUAAGAAAAAUGGAAUGGAAACACGACACUGGUAUAUCUGCAGGAGUAUACUCAUCGUCCAUGUCCCAAUGCUAUUCUGAUGUUCAAAUUUUAUUUUAUUUUUUUGUAAGCGAGUAUUGUAUUUUUGUCUUUAUUUAAUGGGCUGGUAGUUGAUCUGCUAACAUAGGUGGAUUGUCCCAUUUUUAAGUACUUUAGGAAGACAUUUAGAUGGUUAUAAAGAUAAAUAUUGUACUAGCUAACAAUAUUAGUGUUAACUUUAGCAUUAUGAUAACUGUAGCUUACUCAUCAAAUUGACCACUUCUAGACAGAGAGAUUUAAAACAGGGUGAAGAGAUAAAUAUAACAAUCAAAUGAACUUUUUGUAUAGUAUUUAUUGAUGCAUCUGAUAUUGGAUAUCUUGUCUAGCACUCACCCAAAAGAGACUAGAGAUUCACUGAGUCUGUAAUUAUUUGGUCGGUAGUUGUAUUACAAUAAUCAUUUGCAGUAUCAUUCCUUCAGAUUUUAUAGGUUUGCACUCUUCAUUAUAUUGCACAUAGUUUAUGCUAUCGUUUUAGGUGGUAUGUAUGACAAAUUGGUGAAUUGUGAUAUGAAAUGUGGUCUUUGUUUUGUCUUUAUGACAGUUGCCUCUUAUAAUCUAACUUCUUUAUGACAAAUAGAUUCAUCUAACUUGUACAGCUGAAAAGCAUUCGUGAUUUGAUGCAUUGUCUUGUUUUGUCUUUGUGACUGCUGCCUCUUUGUUAGGACUAUCUAACUUCUUUAGCAUUUCUCUACUGCUUUCUUUCCACACUGAUGUUUGGAAUGACCUUGAAUGAUGCAGUAACCUGAUUCCAUUAACCCCAUCACCGAGCAGUACUUGGAUUCCUGAAAUUGCUUUUGUUUCCCUCUAUUUUUGGUGCAGUUUGUCUCAUUUCAUUAUUUAGGUCCUUGCUUGCUUGUUAGGUUUUUCUCUGGAUCAUGAAUCUUCUUGAAACUCAUUGAUUGUGAACUAUCCACAGAGAGAGCUUUGCAGUUUAAUUGCUGAACCAAUCUGAGCACCCUACCAGAACUUUUGGCCUCCAUUAUAUGGAAUGUAAAUGGAUCUAGUCUUGAGCUUAUUGAUUUCCUUUUAAUGUGACUUUUGCUUUUUUUUUUUCCUUCCCCUGGAGGUUGGUGAUUUGGAAGGGUUCUGCAUUUACAUUUUUCUUUUCUUCUCACUUGAGGUUGAUGGACCAACUGUUUUUUCUUUUAGGAUGGAAAUGAAGUCUUUUUCAGGAUCAAAAGAAGUACUCAGCUUAAAAAGCUUAUGAAUGCUUAUUGUGACCGCCAGUCUGUGGAUCUUAAUUCAAUUGCAUUCCUGUUUGAUGGGCGUCGUCUUCGCGGAGAGCAGACUCCCGAAGAGGUCCUUCUCUUCCCUCCCAAGCCCUCAACCCUGAAAAUAUACUUCCCGGCCAUAUGCAUUAACAUUCGUUGAAUCAGUUUAUUCUUAUCCACCACCUUUCUUUUCCCUUGUACACAGUCUUUGGUCAGGUAAUGAUGUAUUUCCUUUUUGUUUUCUUCAGCUGGAAAUGGAAGAUGGGGACGAGAUUGAUGCAAUGCUGCACCAAACUGGAGGCUAAAGCUUUUGAUAAUAAAAUGCAGUUUGUUUGAUGAAAAAACUUAAAUUUGUAGACUUGGGAGUGUAAUUCGUGAAACUUUUGGAAAGCAGAGGAGUGAUCCUGUUUUAUUAAUUUUAAAGCUGGCUGUUCGGAUAUAAAUAUUGUGGACUUGUUAUUAUCCAGAUAAUGUUUGGAUUGUGGAUAUGGCAAAAUGGCAAUGGUAUCAUGCAUGCAGUGCUAAAUUUUCAGGCUUGAGCCUUUUUUAUUUAUUUAUUUUUAUUUUUUAAACGCUGUAGGUAGUUUAUAUCACUCUACCGAAUGAGGUCCUGCUUGCUUCUUCUAAUUUCUUGUGUUUCCAUUAAUUCUACUGUCAUCGGGGUUAGAUUGCUUAAGACAGGCAAAUUAAGCCUUGAAUUCUUGUAUGUCAUAAAGCUACAAAAACGAUUUUGUUUGCUAGGAGUGAUGGUUCAAAGUGUAGUGAUUUUGUUUUUGCAUUCCAACUUACAAUUUGGAUUGGAGGAGGGAUGGAUUGGAUGUUACGGAGCAAGAAGUGUAAGUGAGGGACUUAGGUUCAAAACCUUCCACUUACACUUACCAAAAAAAAAAAAUUAAAAAAAAACCUACAAUUUGGAUUUACAAAAAUGAUUUUGUUUCUUGCGUGCCAACCUACACUUUGGAGAAGUUUUUUUUUGCAUUUAUAUGCUAAAUGAUACCGUAGUUGUAUUGCAAAUUUAGAAAGAGUAAAUCUUUUUUUUACACUGAUGGUAUAUACACUAUCAUCGUUGGAUUCAUGAAAUAUUAUUCCUUGUAAAUUGUGAUGGACUCGUUUUCUUGCCUUCAACAAAUUUGUUUUUACGGACAAUUAACUUUUUUCCAUUUCCUUAUCUUUCACUUAUUUGCAAUUUCUCUUGCUUUUGGACUUGCAUGUCAUGGCAAGUAGAAGACUAAUUUGCAUAUUCUUUGAAGAUUUUCCCUUAGGUUGGUAGGCUUUAAUUACAUUAUAACAUUGUCUUAAUUGGUCCCACCAACCAAUAUGCACACAUUAAAUUAGUUCCCCUUCAUAUAUAUAUAUAUAUGAAUAAAUAAAUUUAUUUGUGUACAUAGACACAAAUACAGUAUGUUUCAUUUAUCAUUCGCCUAAGUGCCUUGCUUGUUACAAUCAGUUGAGAGAUGCAAAGAAAUUGCAAAGAAAUGUGGCUUUUAGACACACCUGCCCUCGCCCUCAGGGGCUUGGUCUGGUGGUUGAGGUUGCUGAAAAUGGAGCCUCAGGUCCCUGGUUCGAACCUUGCUGCCAGCAAGUUGCUGAGGGUGGUGAAUAGUCUGCGGGGUCCACUCCCUGCGGGACACACCUAAAAAAAAAAAAAAAAAAAAAAAGAAGACACACCUGCCCUCAAAAUAGUUGCAGAAUUUCCCUGUAAGAUAAGGCAAUAUCAGCUAUAAAUUCAUGAUGUAUCGUGGAAUAAUCCCUUGUAUUUAUAGUAGAAGAAUGGCAAUGUUUUCAAUCAAACUCAAUCAAUGGCCUAAUAUUGAAGACCAAAUAUGGAAGAAUCAGUCGUAUAUACAAGGCCGCAAAAGCUCCCUCCAGAAGAAGACUCAAAGCUCUUCAAGAUUAAGUGAAAGCUUUGUAAAGUUACUCCAAUCUGAUGGUUAUUGCUGACAAAUUUUGCAUCAAAAGGGCUGCUUGGAAUAUCAACUGAAUGAAAUAACUAUGAAUCAUCAUUGUCAAGACACUGUUUCCAUAUAUCUCUUGGGGUUGAUAACAAUGGCUGUUUCCAUUAUCACGUUUAAGGGAAAAUAGAAUAGGCAUUUGUACCUUUUGAAUUUCUAGUGCAAAAUCAGGUGCAUUUUUUAAAAUGAAAAAAAUAACUUCAGAAGACAAAUCUUUUCACACAUAAUUUGAUAAAAUUCAAAUAGGGAUGACCGAUAACUGCCGAAUCUGAAGCGACUAAUAAGCCAAAAAAAAAAAAAAAAUUUCAGAGUUUCCUGUACAGAGCAGUAGAGUUGCCUCCUUAUGGCCAAAUAUAUGCAGUUCACAACUAUUGCAAUCCAAGAAGAAAUGAAUCAUGACGAAUGCAGGUUCUCUGUAUAACAACCAUCAGCCAUCUAUAAUUGAGGUGGAAUAUAAGAAUCCACUUGAAAUACAAAAAUAUGAUUGGAUGAAAAUGCAACUGGAAAAGGGACCAAAUUCUCAUAUGAGUUUAUUUACACACCAGGAAAAUUCCAACCAAUGUUGAAAUAUAACAAUAUAUUACAUAAAAGGGAAAAAAAACCCGAUAGUAACAAUAUAUUGAAAUUUACAUUAUACAAUGUAAAAAGGGGAAAAAACCGAUAGUAAUUACAUUUUAAGCUAUUAAUUACAAGAUUUAUACUUAUUAUCCUAGUCUACAUUAU
RNAcentral lists this long non-coding RNA (7372 nucleotides) under Coffea arabica (coffee). Its description in RNAcentral is "long non-coding RNA (CARA_LNC003798)". Lineage: Eukaryota; Viridiplantae; Streptophyta; Magnoliopsida; Gentianales; Rubiaceae. The record is from RNAcentral.